CACGGAAAUGUCAACAAAACCGUACUAAUCCCAUCUGUAGCGGAAUUGCAAAAAACUAUAUUACUUGAAUCCGCGCCUAUCAGCUUGGCAACUUCAUUUCGAGUAGCCUCCAUGUACAUCGGCAUAUAGGCAUUGCACAUAAAAUCUGGCUUGCUCUGAGCUUCCUUUAAAAGUUGGACAUGUUUAUUGUAAACAGCAAGAGAUUCUGUUCCACAACUUCCGUUAUUUACAUUCACGUAAUCGGGAUCAAGCAUAAAAUGCUUUUUCAUUUCAUGGCCGUAGACGUUGUUUUCAGCCAUUUAUAAAAUUAAAUCACAGUGAAUUUCGGAACUCCCAAUUUGUAGUUAAGUAGACAGUCUAACUUUGUAUGUUUCCGUUUUGGAUUACAAUAAUUGAAUAAUAAUGACGAUAGUUUGCUUGCUAUAAAAUGUCACAAUGGCUUAUUAACAAAAUAGUGUAUCGUCAGGCUAAAGGAAACCGUUGGCGGUUAGGUGCUAAUGAAAUGAUUAAUAUUAGCGGAUAACGGAAUUAAUAUACUAUCAAAAAACAGACGAUCUUUGAAAUUAUAAAGAUUUCUAUCAUAAUGAUAACAAUAAUUUUACAAGAAAGAUACUUAUAAUCUACGUUUUUUGGAGAUACGAUAAGACUGAUCUGAUCUACAAAAGAUCAUGGCUUCAGAACUUUUUUCGAACAUAUCCGUUACUCUAUCAUUUCUUUAGCAUCCCCAUUGACUUUACAAAAACUAAAACCAGCGCUUAAUCUUUUUUAAAUCUCUCGUUGUCAAGGUUUUACUGAAGGUUGUUGCGAGACGGAUUAAAUAGUUUACUCCAUUCCAUUUAGAAUGUGGGGAGCUAAUUAAGGAUCUUUAAAGAUAAAUUUGUACGAUUUAAUCAAAGAAAUGUUGUAUUUUAAGAUUUUGUAUGUAAUUAACAAAAUUUGUCGCAAAACAGUCUUUUUGCUCAGUUAUAUUAUUAUUACUCAAUUAAAGAAUGUAACCUGCUG
Non-coding RNA from Schizosaccharomyces pombe (fission yeast), 1002 nucleotides. The record is from the annotation of a GenBank genome assembly. NCBI's taxonomy places the organism in Eukaryota, Fungi, Ascomycota, Schizosaccharomycetes, Schizosaccharomycetales, Schizosaccharomycetaceae.